This 535-nucleotide ribosomal RNA is filed under the name Elassoma evergladei (Everglades pygmy sunfish). Its description in RNAcentral is "partial 16S large subunit ribosomal RNA". It matches the Rfam family "Bacterial large subunit ribosomal RNA", at positions 1846 to 2586 of the family's 2925-position model. The record is from RNAcentral. Lineage: Eukaryota; Metazoa; Chordata; Actinopteri; Centrarchiformes; Elassomatidae.
UAAGAGGUCCCGCCUGCCCAGUGACAGCAAGUUCAACGGCCGCGGUAUUCUGACCGUGCAAAGGUAGCGCAAUCAAUUGUCUUUUAAAUGAAGACCUGUAUGAAUGGCAUAACGAAGGCUUAACUGUCUCCUCUUCCAAGUCAAUGAAAUUGAUCUUCCCGUGCAGAAGCGGGAAUAAUACCAUAAGACGAGAAGACCCUAUGGAGCUUUAGACAAAAACAGACCUUGCUAAGCACCCCUUAUAAAGGACUAAGCCAAAUAGAACCUGUUUUAUGUCUUUGGUUGGGGCGACCGCGGGGAAAUAAAAAACCCCCAUGAGGACUGGAAACACUUUUCCACAGCCAAGAGCUCCCGCUCUAAGAAACAGAACAUCUGACCAUAAGAUCCGGCAUUGCCGAACAACGGACCGAGUUACCCUAGGGAUAACAGCGCAAUCCCCUUUAAGAGCCCUUAUCGACAAGGGGGCUUACGACCUCGAUGUUGGAUCAGGACAUCCUAAUGGUGCAACCGCUAUUAAGGGUUCGUUUGUUCAACG